This 433-nucleotide ribosomal RNA is filed under the name uncultured bacterium. Its description in RNAcentral is "partial 16S ribosomal RNA". It matches the Rfam family "Bacterial small subunit ribosomal RNA", at positions 29 to 507 of the family's 1533-position model. The record is from RNAcentral.
AACGAACGCUGGCGGCAUGCCUAACACAUGCAAGUCGAACGAGACCUUCGGGUCUAGUGGCGCACGGGUGCGUAACGCGUGGGAACCUGCCUUUAGGUUCGGAAUAACUCAGAGAAAUUUGAGCUAAUACCGGAUGAUGUCUUCGGACCAAAGAUUUAUCGCCUUUAGAUGGGCCCGCGUUGGAUUAGCUAGUUGGUGGGGUAAAGGCCUGCCAAGGCGACGAUCCAUAGCUGGUCUGAGAGGAUGAUCAGCCACACUGGGACUGAGACACGGCCCAGACUCCUACGGAAGGCAGCAGUGGGGAAUAUUGGUCAAUGGGCGAAAGCCUGAUCCAGCAAUGCCGCGUGAGUGAUGAAGGCCUUAGGGUUGUAAAGCUCUUUUACCCGAGAUGAUAAUGACAGUAUCGGGAGAAUAAGCUCCGGCUAACUCCGUG